This 200-nucleotide ribosomal RNA is filed under the name uncultured bacterium. RNAcentral's name for it is "partial 16S ribosomal RNA". It matches the Rfam family "Bacterial small subunit ribosomal RNA", at positions 8 to 211 of the family's 1533-position model. The record is from RNAcentral.
AGAGUUUGAUCAUGGCUCAGGACGAACGCUGGCGGCGUGCUUAACACAUGCAAGUCGAGCGGAAAGGCCCUUCGGGGUACUCGAGCGGCGAACGGGUGAGUAACACGUGAGUAACCUGCCUUGGCUCUGGGAUAGCUCCGGGAAACCGGAAUUAAUACCGGAUAGGACCACUUUAGACAUCUUCGGUGGUGGAAAGAUUU